AAGAUGUAUGCUCAUGCUCGCUGUCGCCGCAGGGGAAUCCGGUGUGAGUCCGGAACUGUCCCGCAACGGUGUACCCGUGCGUUCGCGCACGGGCGUCAGUCCGAGGACCUGCCGACAGUGCGCCCAGGCC
Molecule: non-coding RNA, 130 nt
Filed under: Streptomyces longwoodensis
Lineage: Bacteria; Bacillati; Actinomycetota; Actinomycetes; Kitasatosporales; Streptomycetaceae
Source: RNAcentral